GCGCCAGUAGUCUAGCCUGGCUAGGACACCGGCUUGCCAAGCCGGAGGCCCGGGUUCAAAUCCCGGCUGGCGCA
Molecule: transfer RNA, 74 nt
Filed under: Candidatus Aenigmarchaeota archaeon ex4484_224
Lineage: Archaea; Nanobdellati; Candidatus Aenigmatarchaeota
Also listed under: 1 other name
Description: tRNA-Gly
Rfam family: tRNA
About the family: Transfer RNA (tRNA) molecules are approximately 80 nucleotides in length.
Source: RNAcentral